CUACGGCCAUAUCACAUUGUAACACCGGUCCCGUGCGAUCACCGAAGUUAAGCAAAGUCGAGCCUGGUCAUUACCUAAAUGGGUGAUCACCUGGGAAUACCAGGUGCUGUAAG
Acanthosepion pharaonis is the source of this 113-nucleotide non-coding RNA. Lineage: Eukaryota; Metazoa; Mollusca; Cephalopoda; Sepiida; Sepiidae. The record is from the annotation of a GenBank genome assembly.